AGAGUUUGAUCCUGGCUCAGGACGAACGCUGGCGGCGUGCUUAACACAUGCAAGUCGAGCGGAAAGGCCCUUCGGGGUACUCGAGCGGCGAACGGGUGAGUAACACGUGGGCAACCUGCCCCUAGCUCUGGGAUAACUCCGGGAAACCGGUGCUAAUACCGGAUAUGACCUCAUUUGGCAUCCUUUGAGGUGGAAAGAUUUAUUGGCUAGGGAUGGGCCCGCGGCCUAUCAGCUUGUUGGUGGGGUAAUGGCCUACCAAGGCGACGACGGGUAGCCGGCCUGAGAGGGCGACCGGCCACACUGGGACUGAGACACGGCCCAGACUCCUACGGGAGGCAGCAGUGGGGAAUAUUGCGCAAUGGGCGAAAGCCUGACGCAGCGACGCCGCGUGAGGGAUGACGGCCUUCGGGUUGUAAACCUCUUUCAGCAGGGACGAAGCGAAAGUGACGGUACCUGCAGAAGAAGCGCCGGCCAACUACGUGCCAGCAGCCGCGGUAAUACGUAGGGCGCAAGCGUUGUCCGGAAUUAUUGGGCGUAAAGAGCUCGUAGGCGGUUUGUCACGUCGGCUGUGAAAACCCGAGGCUCAACCUCGGGCCUGCAGUCGAUACGGGCAGACUAGAGUGCUGUAGGGGAGACUGGAAUUCCUGGUGUAGCGGUGAAAUGCGCAGAUAUCANNANGAACACCGGUGGCGNNNNCGGGUCUCUGGGCAGUAACUGACGCUG
RNAcentral lists this ribosomal RNA (723 nucleotides) under uncultured bacterium. Its description in RNAcentral is "bacterial SSU rRNA". It matches the Rfam family "Bacterial small subunit ribosomal RNA", at positions 8 to 748 of the family's 1533-position model. The record is from RNAcentral.